RNAcentral lists this ribosomal RNA (253 nucleotides) under uncultured bacterium. RNAcentral's name for it is "partial 16S ribosomal RNA". It matches the Rfam family "Bacterial small subunit ribosomal RNA", at positions 524 to 776 of the family's 1533-position model. The record is from RNAcentral.
UACGUAGGGGGCAAGCGUUAUCCGGAAUUACUGGGCGUAAAGCGCACGCAGGCGGUUCGCCAAGUUUGGAGUGACAGUUGUCGGCUCAACCGACAAAGGACUUCAAAAACUGGUGAACUUGAGGACGAGGGUGGAACAUGGAACUCCAGGUGUAGUAGUGAAAUGCGUAGAUAUCUGGAAGAACACCAAUGGCGAAGGCAAUGUUCUGGCUCGUUUCUGACGCUCAGGUGCGAAAGCCAGGGGAGCGAACGGG